RNAcentral lists this ribosomal RNA (396 nucleotides) under uncultured bacterium. Its description in RNAcentral is "bacterial SSU rRNA". It matches the Rfam family "Bacterial small subunit ribosomal RNA", at positions 976 to 1380 of the family's 1533-position model. The record is from RNAcentral.
AAGUCUUGACAUCGCACGAGUAGCCUAGAGAUAGGUGAUGCCUUCGGGCGUGCAGACAGGUGGUGCAUGGUUGUCGUCAGCUCGUGUCGUGAGAUGUUGGGUUAAGUCCCGCAACGAGCGCAACCCUUAUUAUUAGUUGCUACGCUAAGAGCACUCUAAUAAGACUGCCGUUGACAAAACGGAGGAAGGUGGGGAUGACGUCAAAUCAUCAUGCCCUUUAUGACUUGGGCUACACACGUACUACAAUGGCGUUUAACAAAGUGAAGCAAAGCCGCGAGGCAGAGCAAAACACAAAAAAACGUCUCAGUUCAGAUUGCAGGCUGCAACUCGCCUGCAUGAAGUCGGAAUUGCUAGUAAUCGUAGGUCAGCAUACUACGGUGAAUACGUUCCCGGGCC